UAUAAGAAGAUUUCGCUCUUAACAUCAAUUAGUUUGUGAAAUUUCUUUCCGGUGUACAAGUACUUUUAAAAAUAUUUUAGUGUGUAGUAUGAGAGCUUCAAAUUCGGUUUAUCAAGGCAAAAAUAUAAUUUAGCAUGGCACAAUAUACUUUUGGCGAAAUAAAAAUCUUUAGUGAUACGAUAGAUGAUAUGGAAAUUAUAAGGACUAUGACUAGUACGGAAGAUCCAGAAAGAGGCUUUUAUGUUGCGGAUAUCGGUAAUGUUAUUCAGAAGCAUCAAGAAUGGAUUACCAAGAUGCCCAGAGUCGUUCCACACUUUGCAAUUAAAUGUAAUCCGGAUCCAACGGUAAUUAAAGUUCUCGCGGCUUUAAAUGCCGGUUUUGAUUGUGCAUCCAAGCAAGAAAUAGAGCAAGUAAUGCGACACGGAGUGCAUGGCUCUCGAAUUAUUUUUGCGCACCCAACCAAAUAUCCGUCUCACAUAGAAUACGCUAAAAAGAUGGGUGUCGAGCAGAUGACAGUGGACAGUGAGAGCGAGUUGUUUAAGAUUAAAGAUCUCUUUCCCGAAGCUAAAAUUGUUAUACGUAUACGUUGCGAUUCGAAGAAUACGCCGAUAAUACUGGGAUUGAAAUUCGGCACCGAAUUGGGUGAGGAAACUGUGCGUUUGAUACAGCUUGCGAAACAACUAGAUCUGAAUCUACAUGGCUUCAGCUUUCAUGUCGGUAGUCCGUGCAGAGAGAUGGAGGCUUACGGAAGAGGGAUCGAAUUGUGCAAACAAUUAAUUAACACCUCCAAGGCGAUUGGACACGAUAACGUGCAAUUGAUCGAUAUCGGCGGUGGAUUUCCUGGCGAGACCGGAACGAAUGUCGAUAUGUUUGCCACUAUUAUCAACGAUGCCAUACAGGAUCUAGAUUCUAGCAUAAAAAUCAUUAGCGAACCAGGAAGUUAUUAUGUAACUUCCAGUUUUACUUUGGUUACGUAUAUGCAUUCCAUAAAAAUUAGUCUGAAAAAUAGCAAAACAAUGAGAAUGUAUUAUAUAAAUUCCGGCGUAUUCAGUUCCUUCAUAGAUGAAUUGUUAGGUCUGCAAGCUAGAGUCCCGCUAUUACUUUCCGAGCCAAUGAGCGACGAAAAAUUUCUUUCAAGUAUAUGGGGACCGACCGCCGACUCAUAUGAUUUAAUUGUCAAGGAAGUGAUGUUGCCGGAGCUUCAUAUAGGCGAUUGGUUGGCUUGGAAAGAUAUGGGUGCUUACUCUAUAGCCAUGUCUUUUACAUUCAAUGGAUUCCCAAUCCCGAUUGUGAUACCAAUCAUUAGAAAGAGUCAAUGGGAGAAUUUUAAAGCGCAAAUUGAUUCAAUAUAGGAAUUUGCUUCAUUCUGCAAAAAUCAUUGGGCCAAACAACUUAAUGAGAAUAAUGGAAUGAAUUCUUCUAAUAAAAUAUAAGUUUAGUACCACGAUGUUUUGAAAAAGGAGAAGAAAAAGAGACAAAGAAAGAAAGAAAGAAAGAUGAUGAUAGAGAGCAGAAUAAAUAAUACACAGCCGAUGCUAUGGACAAUCAGUCACCCUGAACGUGUCAUACAGUAAGUUGACAAAUAAUGAACGUAUCAAUAAAUUUAUACGUCUUUAUAAGUUAGCAGUUCGAUUAACUAAAGUCUCUGGGAUCGACUAGUUCAAACAAACUAUAAUUAAUCUUCGUCAAAAGCUGUGAUUAAAUUAAGGAUCUAUCAUCUAUCUCAUCUGUGAUCUAUAAGUCCAGGAAUAUCAAUAUUCAUUGUAAUAUACAUAACGACAGUUGGAAAUCAACAUAUUAAAAAUCGCAAGUAUUAUUUAAAUU
Nylanderia fulva is the source of this 1824-nucleotide non-coding RNA. The record is from RefSeq and is a predicted model, not a curated record. Lineage: Eukaryota; Metazoa; Arthropoda; Insecta; Hymenoptera; Formicidae.